UCCAGGAAAGAGUGUAACUAGUGCACAACCCGCAGUUGCACAAAAGCCCUCCUGGCCACCACUGCCACCUGCUCUUUGAGCAGGAGUCAUGAGUCCAGGAACACCUCUAGAUUAUGCAUGGGGUCAGUUUGGGGUAGUGCCACCCCUUCCAAGACCAAAGGUGGAAAUUCACCCUGAGCCAACCAACUCCAAACCCAGAGCCACUCAGUCUUGCAAGGGUUUAGUUUCAACCAGUUUCUUCCCAUCCAGCCCCUAACUGCCUCCAGGCACUGUGAGAGGGAGGACACUUAAAUUGCUUCUAAACAAAGCAGCAACCAUACCCAUACUCUAAAAUAAACAAUAUUAAAGUGGGGAUUUAGUGUAAUAUCAUGCUAUAAAUAUUUUUAGGGUUAAAUCUGAAGUGUAUUCAAAUUCCUCCUGGAAACACAAAUCUUCUCCCUGUUUUGGUAGUUUUAUGUAUUUUAUUUAAAGUUUUAAAAGUAAUAUAUGACCAUAUGCAGAUUUAACAAUUCCAAAAAGCUUGCAAGCUUCUAAAAAUCAAAUUUCUGAUUUUUGUUCACCUUUCAUUUUGUCCACUGCACAAUCCACAUGGGUACCAAUACACGUGGUACAUCAUACAACUGACAGAAAUGCUACUUCUCUCUCAUGUUAUCAAUCUGGCUAUACAAUCUGCCAGGAAGAACAAAUUGAUGGCUGUAUCCCAGCCACAGCAUAGAGACAAAAAUCAAAACAUGAUUGCUAGGUUCGGUCUGCGAUGUCUUAUAGCUAUUAUUGUACUCCAGGUGAUCACACUCACCUGUAAGUCCUGCUUGUGAAAGGAAUAGUGUUUGUGAGGUGCUUUAAUUUAGGCUGCUCAAGGUACUUAUGUUGUAUUAAACCAGCUUGGUUUUGUUUGUUUUUAAUUGGACUUCAACUCCCAGAAUUCCCCAGCCAGCAUGCUAACCUAGCUAGAGAGAUGGUGCAUUUUCAGAAAAAGGAGGGGGGGGAGAGUAACAGCAAUACUGCAAGACACAGCGCAAAUAUUGGAGCAGAAUCCCUCGAGAAUGAAUCUAAUGUAGGGGAAGGGGUGACUCUCCUCCCAACCUGUCUUAGGUAGAGGCCGGCGAGAGGUCCGUCAGAGAUGCUCCACUUUGGAUUGAGCAGGAGGUGGUACAGAAUGGCCCCUUCCAACUCUUACGAUUCUGAUUCUUAAAAUUAAGAGUGUAGGGAAGCGGAAGUGAAUUCAUUUAGAAACGUUACGUUUCCUUAGGAAAAGAGAAGUGACUCUUAAUAGGAAUAGAAGCUAAAGCCCACCGCUCAUUGCACACACACACACACCCGGUCGCGUAGGGAGAAAGCCUAAAAACCGUCAACCUCCAGAAACAGCAACAACUAAAAUGGCGCCUCCGCUUUCUUGUUUAUAAUGGCUGAGUCAAUUUGCCUCCGUGUCCAAUGAGAAGCGAGUUUACGGGGUGAGAGCGUGAACAUUUUUCUCCCCUGUCAAAACAUAGCAAGGCAUAUAAGAGAGCAUAGUCAAUCCGGGCCCUUGGAAUGGUUGAUGCGGAGUUGUAAUUGGCUCGCAGAAAGGGUGUAAGAGAGUCGGUGUGUUUUGUCCAAUGAGAGGUCUUUCUUUGAACGUGGAGGGGGUGGGAAGUGUUGCUCAGGUAACGCAAGUGCAGGUGAGAAGCCAAUGGAGGUGGGAGGAAGGAAAUGACAGUUUUGCCUGUGGAAAGGCUGGAGCAUACGCGUGAUCCACUCCGGGAGGUGGAGACAGGGAAUCGCCGCCGGGGAAGCUUUUCAGGACUGUGUAGCCCGUUGUACGUCUGUAAGUGGGACCUCGGAGAAAACCCAUGCAACGAGGAGGCCCAUGACUUUGCCUUCUUUGCUAUG
Molecule: non-coding RNA, 1869 nt
Organism: Pseudonaja textilis
Lineage: Eukaryota; Metazoa; Chordata; Lepidosauria; Squamata; Elapidae
Source: RefSeq, a predicted model, not a curated record